Mastomys coucha (southern multimammate mouse) is the source of this 1330-nucleotide long non-coding RNA. RefSeq lists it as uncharacterized. Lineage: Eukaryota; Metazoa; Chordata; Mammalia; Rodentia; Muridae. The record is from RefSeq and is a predicted model, not a curated record. The transcript has 7 exons.
AAAUAAGAGUUUCCUGAAUCAUGAAUCUCAGCAGCUUGGAUGCUGUUAGCCCAUUGUGUACUCUACAGUGUCUAUCAUAUAAUGGAUAAUGGUUGCUGCUAGCUCAAUUGUACUCAACAUCUGAAGAUUCAAUGGCCUCAGAGUCUACAUGAUGGAAGUCCUGCCACUGUUUUCCUGUAUCUGUAGCUUGGGCUUGAAGACUUCAUAGUUUUCAUCAUCUACAUUCCUCAGGCAAUCCAUAGCUAACAAUAAGGAAAAGGCUGAACAGAUAAAGUGUUGAGAAAACAGUCAUAAUGAUAGCAGACAUACACCUGCCCACGCUCUGCAGCAGAUUUAUGGCCAACACAGCCGAUUUUGCCAUCUGGGUCAAAGUCAUAUGUUCACUGGAAAUAUUUUGGUUUAACAGUUAUUGGAUCCAGCGAAUCUCUGGCAUCACCAACCAGUGUGAGAGAUCGCUUGACCGAGACUUGAAGAUUAUUUCCUUGAAGUGAUUAAUAGCUAUCCCACCCUGUCUGCCUUCUACACCAGACAGUCUUGAAGAACCUACUGCAGUGCCCAGGCCACACAGCUAAUCCUGGCAUUUGCUUCUUGAGAAAUUCCACAGGAAGUUGCCAUUUGUAAUGGUUAAUAUUCAUUGUCAAGAUGGGAAGAUGCACUCUGAAUGUGGGCAGCAGCACCCCAUGGGCUUUUGCCCCAGACUAAAUCAAAAGGAGACAUGACAGAAUUAAGUUCAGCUGCAGCAUUAAUCUCUCUCUCAGCUGCCUGGGUACGGAUGCAGAAUGAGCUAAGCAGGUAGAUGCUUCUCCAGCCAAGCCUUCCUCCCCACAGGAACUGAAUCCUCAGCUAGGAGCAAUGGCAAACCCUUCCUUCCUUACACUGACUUAUUUUAUUUUAUUUUUCGGAUAUUUGACAAAGUAAUGAGAAAACUAACAAACACAUCACUAACCACAAAGCUCUGCCCUUCCUUCCCUCUGCACACUUCUCUAGGACCUCUUGUUGUCAUUUUGGGAGGCAGACAGCAACUGGUUUGAUUCCUUAGAGGGCAGAGCAGAGUGAAAUGGAAGGUUACAGAAGCCCGGCCCCUGCUGAUUCUUGUGAAGAGAAAUGAGUCCUUUCCUCUUUGCUCAAUUCGAGAUGCACCACAGAGCAGUUAUGGAUAGCAUUUAUCUUUCAAUGCCUGCUUCCCUGAAAAAGAAGAUGGACUAUUUGUUCUGGGGAGUCUUUCGGGCCCCUUGAGCUUUAGAACUUAACCAAAGAGAAAAACACAUAGGAAUGUGUUUAAAAAUGGAAAAAUAUUUGUUAUAGGUAAUAAAAUAUUUCCUAAUAUCUA